GGCGGGGUGGCAGAGUGGUUGAUUGCACCGGAUUGAGGAUCCGGUAGGCGCUGCCUUCGAUUUAGAAGCAGCAAGAGCGUCUCGCGGGUUCGAAUCCCGUCCCCGCCG
RNAcentral lists this transfer RNA (108 nucleotides) under Gemmatimonadales bacterium. Its description in RNAcentral is "tRNA-Leu". It matches the Rfam family "tRNA". From Rfam's summary of the family: Transfer RNA (tRNA) molecules are approximately 80 nucleotides in length. RNAcentral also lists the same sequence under 1 other name. The record is from RNAcentral. Lineage: Bacteria; Pseudomonadati; Gemmatimonadota; Gemmatimonadia; Gemmatimonadales.